UAGGGAAUCUUCCGCAAUGGACGAAAGUCUGACGGAGCAACGCCGCGUGAGUGAAGAAGGAUUUCGGUUCGUAAAACUCUGUUGUUAGGGAAGAAAAAAUGUAUAGUAACUAUAUACAAAAGAGACGGUACCUAUCCAGAAAGCCACGGCUAACUACGUGCCAGCAGCCGCGGUAAUACGUAGGUCCCGAGCGUUGUCCGGAUUUAUUGGGCGUAAAGCGAGCGCAGGCGGUUAGAAAAGUCUGAAGUGAAAGGCAGUGGCUCAACCAUUGUAGGCUUUGGAAACUGUUUCACUUGAGUGCAGAAGGGGAGAGUGGAAUUCCAUGUGUAGCGGUGAAAUGCGUAGAUAGAUGGAGGAACACCGGUGGCGAAAGCGGCUCUCUGGUCUGUAACUGACGCUGAGGCUCGAAAGCGUGGGGAGCGAACAGG
This 428-nucleotide ribosomal RNA is filed under the name Verrucomicrobiota bacterium. Its description in RNAcentral is "Verrucomicrobia bacterium partial 16S ribosomal RNA". It matches the Rfam family "Bacterial small subunit ribosomal RNA", at positions 355 to 776 of the family's 1533-position model. The record is from RNAcentral. Lineage: Bacteria; Pseudomonadati; Verrucomicrobiota.